RNAcentral lists this transfer-messenger RNA (386 nucleotides) under Candidatus Synechococcus calcipolaris G9. It matches the Rfam family "transfer-messenger RNA". From Rfam's summary of the family: Bacterial tmRNA, also known as 10Sa RNA or SsrA, is named for its dual tRNA and mRNA-like properties. Its role is to liberate the mRNA from a stalled ribosome. Lineage: Bacteria; Bacillati; Cyanobacteriota; Cyanophyceae; Synechococcales; Synechococcaceae. The record is from RNAcentral.
GGGGCUGUAACGGCUUCGACGUUCUUGUGAAAGUCGUUCUGUGAUUCAGGUCGAGAGUGGGCUAUCUCUCGCAAAUCAAAAGUCCAAACUUUAUGUAACUGCGAACAAUAUCGUUCCUUUCGCUCGUAAGGCUGCUGCUGUAGCUUAAACACCACUCUUUGGUUCGAGCACUCGUUGUCUGACUCCGUUAAGGGCAGCGGGUUAACCCCAACGGAUGCCCUAGUUACCUUCUCUGGUAGGGUAGCUAGUUAAGACUUUACCAGAGCAUCCUACCGUUCGGGAUUAAGGAACGGUUCCUGCCUAAGGGUUAAAAAGGCUAAACCUGUGAAUGAGCAGACUAUGAUUAGCUUGGGCGGACACGGGUUCGACUCCCGUCAGCUCCACUU